This 433-nucleotide ribosomal RNA is filed under the name uncultured bacterium. RNAcentral describes it as "partial 16S ribosomal RNA". It matches the Rfam family "Bacterial small subunit ribosomal RNA", at positions 29 to 507 of the family's 1533-position model. The record is from RNAcentral.
AACGAACGCUGGCGGCAUGCCUAACACAUGCAAGUCGAACGAGACCUUCGGGUCUAGUGGCGCACGGGUGCGUAACGCGUGGGAAUCUGCCCUUGGGUUCGGAAUAACAGUGAGAAAUUACUGCUAAUACCGGAUGAUGUCUUCGGACCAAAGAUUUAUCGCCCAGGGAUGAGCCCGCGUAGGAUUAGCUAGUUGGUGGGGUAAUGGCCUACCAAGGCGACGAUCCUUAGCUGGUCUGAGAGGAUGAUCAGCCACACUGGGACUGAGACACGGCCCAGACUCCUACGGGAAGCAGCAGUGGGGAAUAUUGGACAAUGGGCGCAAGCCUGAUCCAGCAAUGCCGCGUGAGUGAUGAAGGCCUUAGGGUUGUAAAGCUCUUUUACCCGGGAUGAUAAUGACAGUACCGGGAGAAUAAGCUCCGGCUAACUCCGUG